This 386-nucleotide ribosomal RNA is filed under the name uncultured crenarchaeote. Its description in RNAcentral is "bacterial SSU rRNA". It matches the Rfam family "Archaeal small subunit ribosomal RNA", at positions 469 to 855 of the family's 1478-position model. The record is from RNAcentral. Lineage: Archaea; Thermoproteati; Thermoproteota.
GGUAAAACCAGCACCUCAAGUGGUCAGGAUGAUUAUUGGGCCUAAAGCAUCCGUAGCCGGCUCUGUAAGUUUUCGGUUAAAUCUGUACGCUCAACGUACCAGGCUGCCGGGAAUACUGCAGAGCUAGGAGUGGGAGAGGUAGACGGUACUCGGUAGGAAGGGGUAAAAUCCUUUGAUCUAUUGAUGACCACCUGUGGCGAAGGCGGUCUACCAGAACACGUCCGACGGUGAGGGAUGAAAGCUGGGGGAGCAAACCGGAUUAGAUACCCGGGUAGUCCCAGCUGUAAACUAUGCAAACUCAGUGAUGCAUUGGCUUGUGGCCAAUGCAGUGCUGCAGGGAAGCCGUUAAGUUUGCCGCCUGGGAAGUACGUACGCAAGUAUGAAAC